UACAGAGGGGGCAAGCGUUGUCCGGAUUUACUGGGCGUACAGCGCGCGCAGGCGGUUGCGUAUGUGAGCGGUGACAUCCGCGGGCUCAACCCGCGGCGGCCCGCUUACACAGCGCGACUGGAGGCAGGGAGAGGGAUGUGGAAUACCCGGUGGAGCGGUGAAAUGCGUAGAGAUCGGGUGGAACACCAGCGGCGAAGGCGGCAUCCUGGCCCUGUACUGACGCUGAGGCGCGAAAGCUAGGGGAGCAAACGGG
RNAcentral lists this ribosomal RNA (253 nucleotides) under uncultured bacterium. RNAcentral's name for it is "partial 16S ribosomal RNA". It matches the Rfam family "Bacterial small subunit ribosomal RNA", at positions 524 to 776 of the family's 1533-position model. The record is from RNAcentral.